Molecule: long non-coding RNA, 289 nt
Organism: Drosophila miranda
Lineage: Eukaryota; Metazoa; Arthropoda; Insecta; Diptera; Drosophilidae
Exons: 3
Source: RefSeq, a predicted model, not a curated record
CUGGAAGAAAAAAUAAAAUUAAAUAGGGACAUUUAUAUAACAGAAAUGAAAUCAAUUCUCCAGCCAGCUGGCGUUUUGAGCGGCUUGAACUUUAUUUUGAGUGAGGACAUUGUUCUGUUCUUCCAAGGGAAGAAGGCCCUUAGGACCCACAAAGAAUUUUUUGCAGCUUUGCUAGAAUGUAUUCCGCCUGGCGAUGAGCCCCCCGAAAACACUGUACGGAAGGCAAUGCAAAGGAUGAAGAAAAGGGUGUUUAAAAAGAAGUGUCUUGCCAUAAACCAGGAGUAGGCUA